This 96-nucleotide non-coding RNA is filed under the name Brachybacterium phenoliresistens. RNAcentral describes it as "TPP sequence". It matches the Rfam family "TPP riboswitch aptamer (THI element)". Rfam says of the family: Vitamin B(1) in its active form thiamin pyrophosphate (TPP) is an essential coenzyme that is synthesised by coupling of pyrimidine and thiazole moieties in bacteria. The previously detected thiamin-regulatory element, thi box was extended, resulting in a new, highly conserved RNA secondary structure, the THI element, which is widely distributed in eubacteria and also occurs in some archaea. Lineage: Bacteria; Bacillati; Actinomycetota; Actinomycetes; Micrococcales; Dermabacteraceae. The record is from Rfam by way of RNAcentral.
GGGCGUGACACGGGGUGCCGCCACGCGCGGCUGAGAACAUACCCGUCGAACCUGAUCCAGUUCACGCUGGCGGAGGGAUUGUCGCAGCGGCCGCGC